AGCGAACGUUAGCGGCGGGCUUAACACAUGCAAGUCGAGCGAGAAAGGGGCUUCGGCCCUGAGUACAGCGGCGGACGGGUGAAUAACACGUAGGUAACCUUCCUUUCAGCGGGGGACAACGGUCCGAAAGGACCGCUAAUACCGCAUACGUUCCCUGGGACCUCGGUCCUGGGGAGGAAAGGCCCGCAAGGGCCACUGGAUGAGGGGCCUGCGUAGCAUCAGCUAGUUGGUGGGGUAAUGGCCUACCAAGGCGAAGACGCUUAGCUGGUCUGAGAGGAUGAUCAGCCACACUGGGACUGAGACACGGCCCAGACUCCUACGGGAGGCAGCAGUGGGGAAUAUUGGACAAUGGGCGCAAGCCUGAUCCAGCCACGCCGCGUGAGUGAUGAAGGCCUUCGGGUCGUAAAGCUCUGUGGGGAGGGACGAACGGCGCCAUGAAGAGUGGCGAUUGACGGUACCUCCUUAGCAAGCACCGGCUAACUUCGUG
RNAcentral lists this ribosomal RNA (487 nucleotides) under uncultured organism. RNAcentral describes it as "bacterial SSU rRNA". It matches the Rfam family "Bacterial small subunit ribosomal RNA", at positions 30 to 507 of the family's 1533-position model. The record is from RNAcentral.